AAAUUUUUUUUUAUGUAAAGCUACAUUUUUUCUUUAAAAAUAUAAUAUUCCCUAGUAAUAAAAACACAUCAUAAUCUGAAGUUCACCUCAGUUUUGUGAUUUUGUGAUUUUAUAUAAGUGUUAAUUAGUUUGGGAUGUUUAACAUCAAACACAAGAAUUUUUAAAACGCAGUAAGUUGAAGGUUCGUUCCUGAAGGGUCUUCAGCAAACUUAUCAAAAAAUAUCAGAAUAACAGUCCAUCCAAAUUUACAAUAAAACAAGCAAAUUCUUGGCAUUAAAUGCAAUUUAUUUGUAACAUUUCAUUUAGAAAGGAAGAAAGUAAUGUGAUGUUAUCUUAAUA
RNAcentral lists this long non-coding RNA (339 nucleotides) under Mytilus galloprovincialis (Mediterranean mussel). Lineage: Eukaryota; Metazoa; Mollusca; Bivalvia; Mytilida; Mytilidae. The record is from RNAcentral.